UCCCUGAUAGCUCAGUUGGUAAAGAAUCUGCCUGCAAUGCAGGAGACUCUGGUUCAAUUCCUGGGUCAGAAAA
Bos taurus (domestic cattle) is the source of this 73-nucleotide non-coding RNA. Lineage: Eukaryota; Metazoa; Chordata; Mammalia; Artiodactyla; Bovidae. The record is from Rfam.